UACGUAGGGGGCGAGCGUUGUCCGGAAUUAUUGGGCGUAAAGGGUGUGUAGGCGGCUUUGCAAGUCAGAUGUGAAAUGCCACGGCUUAACCGUGGAACUGCAUUUGAAACUGCAGGGCUUGAGUUCGGAAGAGGAAAACGGAAUUCCUAGUGUAGCGGUGAAAUGCGUAGAUAUUAGGAGGAACACCGGUGGCGAAGGCGGUUUUCUGGGCCGACACUGACGCUGAGGCACGAAAGCGUGGGGAGCGAACAGG
This 253-nucleotide ribosomal RNA is filed under the name uncultured bacterium. Its description in RNAcentral is "partial 16S ribosomal RNA". It matches the Rfam family "Bacterial small subunit ribosomal RNA", at positions 524 to 776 of the family's 1533-position model. The record is from RNAcentral.